RNAcentral lists this ribosomal RNA (253 nucleotides) under uncultured bacterium. RNAcentral describes it as "partial 16S ribosomal RNA". It matches the Rfam family "Bacterial small subunit ribosomal RNA", at positions 524 to 776 of the family's 1533-position model. The record is from RNAcentral.
UACGAAGGGGGCUAGCGUUGCUCGGAAUUACUGGGCGUAAAGGGCGCGUCGGCGGAUACUUAAGUUAGAGGUGAAAGCCCAGGGCUCAACCCUGGAACAGCCUUUAAUACUGGGUAUCUUGAGUUCGGGAGAGGUGAGUGGAACUCCGAGUGUAGAGGUGAAAUUCGUAGAUAUUCGGAAGAACACCAGUGGCGAAGGCGACUCACUGGCCCGAUACUGACGCUGAGGCGCGAAAGCGUGGGGAGCAAACAGG